Molecule: ribosomal RNA, 400 nt
Filed under: uncultured bacterium
Lineage: Bacteria
Description: bacterial SSU rRNA
Rfam family: Bacterial small subunit ribosomal RNA
Source: RNAcentral
UGGGGAAUUUUGGACAAUGGGCGCAAGCCUGAUCCAGCCAUGCCGCGUGCGGGAAGAAGGCCUUCGGGUUGUAAACCGCUUUUGUCAGGGAAGAAACGGCUCUUGCUAAUAUCGAGAGCUAAUGACGGUACCUGAAGAAUAAGCACCGGCUAACUACGUGCCAGCAGCCGCGGUAAUACGUAGGGUGCAAGCGUUAAUCGGAAUUACUGGGCGUAAAGCGUGCGCAGGCGGCUAUGCAAGACAGAUGUGAAAUCCCCGGGCUCAACCUGGGAACUGCAUUUGUGACUGCAUGGCUAGAGUACGGUAGAGGGGGAUGGAAUUCCGCGUGUAGCAGUGAAAUGCGUAGAUAUGCGGAGGAACACCGAUGGCGAAGGCAAUCCCCUGGACCUGUACUGACGCU